Cynoglossus semilaevis (tongue sole) is the source of this 636-nucleotide long non-coding RNA. RefSeq lists it as uncharacterized. The transcript has 2 exons. The record is from RefSeq and is a predicted model, not a curated record. Lineage: Eukaryota; Metazoa; Chordata; Actinopteri; Pleuronectiformes; Cynoglossidae.
GUCACGUGAUUGGGUGUUUAUAAACACUGUGUGACAUCACCUGUUUACAGUUUUCCAAGCUCUCGGUUGAAAAUGGUCCGAACGGUUCGUGUCGAAAUGGCGACAGAAAUGGACAGAUUCGUCUCUUUCGAAGAGACCCAUUACGAUCAAUACGACUACUACAACCUACUCGAAUAUCCCUGCAACGCUGCUGGAAAAGGCAGAAGCAAGAGGGAGGUGGAGAUGAACACGAAUCGCCAUUGUCCAGCAGGACACGAGAGGAAAAUAGCAGAAAAAUAUCAUAACAGUGAGGUGAAACGCAGAAGAACAAAAAGCGCUUCUUCUUGAUGGCUGUCAACGGUUAUUACGGAUUUUGGAAACAAGUUUACCUUGACCAAGUAUCUCUACCUUUCCUCACCCAAUAAAUGGAGUGCUGUGACAAAGCAAACAGUCAUGAGACCACUCUCCAUUCCAUGCAUCUACCCUGCAACAAGACCUGCUGCUCUCAUGUUACAGCUGGGCAAGAAUAGUUUGUGUUGAGCUGUCUAGAGUAGGUCAAUCAUGUGUGCUUGGUAAACAUAUAGAUAUGCAGUUCUGUAUGAUGUAUGAUGCAUUGUACUCUAUUUUAAAAUUAAAUAAAGGCUUUGUUAAAUCUAA